This 357-nucleotide ribosomal RNA is filed under the name Mycoplasmopsis meleagridis. RNAcentral describes it as "bacterial SSU rRNA". It matches the Rfam family "Bacterial small subunit ribosomal RNA", at positions 92 to 441 of the family's 1533-position model. Lineage: Bacteria; Bacillati; Mycoplasmatota; Mycoplasmoidales; Metamycoplasmataceae. The record is from RNAcentral.
UUAGCGGCGAAUGGGUGAGUAACACGUACUCAACGUACCUUUUAGAUUGGGAUAGCAAGUGGAAACAUUUGAUAAUACCGAAUAUGUAUAUUUUUCGCAUGAAAUUUAUAUGAAAGAAGCCUUUAAGCUUCGCUAAAAGAGCGGGGUGCGUAACAUUAGCUAGUUGGUGAGGUAACGGCCCACCAAGGCAAUGAUGUUUAGCGGGGUUGAGAGACUGAACCGCCACACUGGGACUGAGAUACGGCCCAGACUCCUACGGGAGGCAGCAGUAGGGAAUAUUCCACAAUGGACGAAAGUCUGAUGGAGCGACACAGCGUGCAGGAUGAAGGCCUUAUGGGUUGUAAACUGCUGUGGUAA